Molecule: ribosomal RNA, 253 nt
Filed under: uncultured bacterium
Lineage: Bacteria
Description: partial 16S ribosomal RNA
Rfam family: Archaeal small subunit ribosomal RNA
Source: RNAcentral
UACCAGCACCCCGAGUGGUCGGGACGAUUAUUGGGCCUAAAGCAUCCGUAGCCGGUUCUGCAAGUCCCCCGUUAAAUCCAGCUGCUCAACAGAUGGGCCGCGGAGGAUACUAUAAGACUAGGAGGCAGGAGAGGCAAGCGGUACUCAGUGGGUAGGGGUAAAAUCCUCUGAUCCAUUGAAGACCACCAGUGGCGAAGGCGGCUUGCCAGAACGCGCUCGACGGUGAGGGAUGAAAGCUGGGGGAGCAAACCGG